Molecule: ribosomal RNA, 414 nt
Filed under: uncultured microorganism
Description: bacterial SSU rRNA
Rfam family: Archaeal small subunit ribosomal RNA
Source: RNAcentral
CAGCCGCCGCGGUAAUACCGGCGGCCCGAGUGGCGGUCACUAUUAUUGGGCUUAAAGCGUCCGUAGCCGGGUUGGGAAGGCCUCCGGGAAAUCUGGCCGCUUAACGGUCAGAAUGCCGGAGGAUACUCCCAGCCUAGGGAGCGGGGGAGGCCGAGGGGAUUCCCGGAGUAGGGGGGAAAUCCUAUAAUCCCGGGAGGACCACCUGUGGCGAAGGCGCUCGGCUGGAACGCGUCCGACGGUGAGGGACGAAGGCCAGGGGAGCAAACCGGAUUAGAUACCCGGGUAGUCCUGGCUGUAAACGAUGCGGACUUUGUGUCGGACAAGCUAUGAGCUUGUCCGGUGCCGGAGGGAAACCGUUAAGUCCGCCGCCUGGGGAGUACGGCCGCAAGGCUGAAACUUAAAGGAAUUGGCGGG